CGAGCUAAUACCGCGAAAGUUGAGCGUUCACGCUUAUCGGCUGUAAAUCAAGACAGACUCAGGGGUCUGUAGCUCAGUCGGUUAGAGCACCGUCUUGAUAAGGCGGGGGUCGUUGGUUCGAAUCCAACCAGACCCACCAAUUGUCUGGCGGUAGAAACCUGAGACGUCUCUGUAUGGGGGCAUAGCUCAGCUGGGAGAGCACCUGCUUUGCAAGCAGGGGGUCGUCGGUUCGAUCCCGUCUGCCUCCACCAAUCUUCAAUGACAAACGUUCGGGUCAGUUGACUCGAGUCU
RNAcentral lists this unclassified non-coding RNA (291 nucleotides) under Burkholderia gladioli. RNAcentral's name for it is "partial 16S-23S ribosomal RNA intergenic spacer". The stretch from base 63 to 136 matches the Rfam family "tRNA". The record is from RNAcentral. Lineage: Bacteria; Pseudomonadati; Pseudomonadota; Betaproteobacteria; Burkholderiales; Burkholderiaceae.